CUGACCUGCACCAAGGCCGCCAGCGCGAAGAAGGCGGCCAUGAGUCCGUUGCAGGCCCGCCACAGCGCUGGCGCCAUGGCUCGGAGAACACGGCGCGGGGCGAAAAUAUGCUCUCUUAAGAACCAAGUCUGAAGCGAAGGCUGUACUUGAACUUCGGGCUGGCUGGACCACUCAGACCGAUUGAGGCCCCUAAGGUAAAAGCCUUGCUCCAAGUCCCCUUCUGACUUCUAGUCACUUCCGUGCUGCCAGCAGAGGGCGUGGGAUUCUUCCUGAGGAGCCUGAGUCUCAGCUUUGCCAGGUCCUUGCUGUGUGACCUUGGGCACCUGUGCUCCCUUGACAAAGAGGAAUAAAACCUCUUCAGACUACUCUCCUAUCGAUUCUCUCCUGGAACAUAUGACCACCAUCAAUUAUAGGCAAGAACAUGAACACGGGAGUCCCAAAGACUUGGGUUCAAAUGUCAGCCCCUUCACUCGCUGGCUGUAGGUGUGAGGCCCUGGCUCCUGUGGGGCUAUUGCAGAGGAGAAACUUCUGGAACAGAGAGCUCCUUGUCCAGGGAUGCUGCAUCUGGGUGAGCUGCUCCUUGGAUAUGGUGCAAGUGUGGCCAGGGUGUGGUGUGGAAGGAGCAGAAGUCUUCAGGACUGAAUCUGGAUGGACCACUGUGACAGCUGUAUACCCAGGUGGUACCAGUUUCCCUCUCUGCAGAAGUCCCCCCAACAGCACCAUUCUCAGUGCCAUACCUGGCCUCAUCAGGGCUCUGAUGCAAGACACUGUAUAUGCAGAAUAUAUUAUUUCAUCCUCACAACAGUUCUGUAUCUUCCACAUUUUAUAGGCUAAGGAAAUAGGCUCAGGGUAGUCAAGUAGCUUUCCCAAAGGCACACAGCAGCAGAAGGGGAUUUGAACCCAAUUUGGGCUAUCUCCAAACCCCACACUUUCGGAAUAACUGUGGAGGUAUCAGGAUGCAUCUAUUAUAUGUCAGGGGACUGCUAGAGACUCAAAGCCCUCCCCUCCUGUCCAUAGGAAAGGAGAGACCCCUUAGUACUGAUUGCUUUGGUGGGGCUCUGGCACUCCGCAGUGAUCACCUAUAGGAAAACAUGGAGUAUCAGAAUAUUGGUCUCUCAGGAACCUGGCUUUGUGGGGUGGUUUGAGGCAGUAGUUGCCCCUUCAUAUGUGCACCCAGGCCCCUGCCAGACAGGUAAUCACAUUGCCUCCUCCUUGUGGCAGAUUAUAUUUCCCAGAAAGUGCCUGCAACAAUACUUCCAGUCCCAUAUGUGCUUCUAGAGCCGGUCACUCUCUCAGUUUAAAGGUGGAGUCUAUUUCCCUUCCCCUUAAGACUGCCUCAGUGGUUAGACUAUGGCAAGAAAGAUAUCAUGUGACUUCCAAGACAAAUCCUAAAAGGCAACACAGCUUCCACCUGGCUCUUUCUAUUUUGAGCCACUUACCUAUGGAACACCAGCCACCAUGUUGGAAGGAAGCCCAGGUGACAUGGAGAAGCAUCUGUGAGUGCUCUGGCAGGCACGCCAGCUUGAAUCUCAGCCAUCAGCCAGCAUCAACCACCAGAUGCGUGAGAGAGAGCCUUCACAUGACUUCAGGCCUCAGCCUGCAAGCUGUCCCAGCUUAUGCUGAGUGAGCACAGACAACCUAUCCCUGCUGAGCCCUGUCCAGUCUGCAGAUUUCUG
RNAcentral lists this long non-coding RNA (1676 nucleotides) under Homo sapiens (human). RNAcentral's name for it is "long non-coding RNA NONHSAT145635.2". Lineage: Eukaryota; Metazoa; Chordata; Mammalia; Primates; Hominidae. The record is from RNAcentral.